GAUGAACGCUGGCGGCGUGCCUAAUACAUGCAAGUCGAGCGAACGGACGAGAAGCUUGCUUCUCUGAUGUUAGCGGCGGACGGGUGAGUAACACGUGGAUAACCUACCUAUAAGACUGGGAUAACUUCGGGAAACCGGAGCUAAUACCGGAUAAUCUUUUGAACCGCAUGGUUCAAAAGUGAAAGACGGUCUUGCUGUCUCUUAUAGAUGGAUCCGCGCUGCAUUAGCUAGUUGGUAAGGUAACGGCUUACCAAGGCAACGAUGCAUAGCCGACCUGAGAGAGUGAUAGGCGACACUGGAACGUAGACACGGUCCAGACUCCUACGGGAGGCAGCAGUAGGGAAUCGGCCGCAAUGGGCGAGAGCCUGACGGAGCAACGGCGCGUGAGUGAUGAAGGUCUUCGGAGCGUAAAACUCUGUUAUGAGGGAAGAACAGAUGUGUAAGUAACUGUGCACAUCGUGACGGUACCUAAUCAGAAAGCCACGGCUAACUACGUG
This 497-nucleotide ribosomal RNA is filed under the name uncultured bacterium. RNAcentral's name for it is "partial 16S ribosomal RNA". It matches the Rfam family "Bacterial small subunit ribosomal RNA", at positions 28 to 507 of the family's 1533-position model. The record is from RNAcentral.